ACCAACAGGGCUUGCGUUUCCUAUGGGCGAGUGAGCGGCAAUAGCUCAAAUUUGAAAUCUGGCACCUUCGGUGUCCGAGUUGUAAUUUGAAGAAGGUAUCUUUGGUUUUGGCUCUUGUCUAUGUUCCUUGGAACAGGACGUCACAGAGGGUGAGAAUCCCGUGCGAUGAGAUGCCCAAUUCCAUGUAAAGUUCCUUCGACGAGUCGAGUUGUUUGGGAAUGCAGCUCUAAGUGGGUGGUAAAUUCCAUCUAAAGCUAAAUAUUGGCGAGAGACCGAUAGCGAACAAGUACUGUGAAGGAAAGAUGAAAAGAACUUUGAAAAGAGAGUGAAAAAGUACGUGAAAUUGUUGAAAGGGAAGGGCUUGAGGUCAGACUUGGUUUUACCAGGCCAGCAUCAGUUUGGAUGGCAGGAUAAUAGCUUAGGAAUGUGGCACUGCUUCGGUAGUGUGUUAUAGCCUGGGUUGAUACUGCCUGUCUAGACUGAGGACUGCGUCUUUGACUAGGAUGCUGGCAUAAUGACCUUAAGCCGCCCGUCUUGAAACUACGGACCGCGGGGCUGCAUAUUACUAGAGCGGAGGAAAAAGGGUG
RNAcentral lists this ribosomal RNA (587 nucleotides) under Yamadazyma mexicana. RNAcentral's name for it is "eukaryotic LSU rRNA". It matches the Rfam family "Eukaryotic large subunit ribosomal RNA", at positions 64 to 664 of the family's 3401-position model. The record is from RNAcentral. Lineage: Eukaryota; Fungi; Ascomycota; Pichiomycetes; Serinales; Debaryomycetaceae.